Molecule: ribosomal RNA, 236 nt
Filed under: uncultured bacterium
Lineage: Bacteria
Description: partial 16S ribosomal RNA
Rfam family: Bacterial small subunit ribosomal RNA
Source: RNAcentral
CGGCACGGGUGAGUAACACGUAUCCAACCUGCCGUCUACUCUUGGACAGCCUUCUGAAAGGAAGAUUAAUACAAGAUGGCAUCAUGAGUCCGCAUGUUCACAUGAUUAAGGGUAUUCCGGUAGACGAUGGGGAUGCGUUCCAUUAGAUAGUAGGCGGGGUAACGGCCCACCUAGUCUUCGAUGGAUAGGGGUUCUGAGAGGAAGGUCCCCCACAUUGGAACUGAGACACGGUCCAA